GAUGAAGAACGCAGCGAAAUGCGAUAAGUAGUGUGAAUUGCAGAAUUCCGUGAAUCAUCGAAUCUUUGAACGCACAUUGCGCCUUCUGGUAUUCCGGAAGGCAUGCCUGUUCGAGAGUCAUUAACAACCGUUUCGAUCCCUUUCUUUCAGAAAUUACAAAGAGGAAAAGGGUUUGGUUAUGGUGGAGGAGGGAAAGGGAGCGUUUAGCCUGUAAAAAAAGAGGCUGUGUUCCGCCUCCCCCCCAAAAUUGUACAGGCGGUUGUGUGCGCCCACGCAUCGAGGUGUUGUAAAAGCUGCCACGGCACUUUUCACCUGUGCAGUGCGAGAUUGGCCAGCCGGUUUAAAAACCCCUCCAAACAAUCAAAGGUUGACCUCGGAUCAGGUAGGGAUACCCGCUGAACUUAAGCAUAUCAAUAAGCGGAGGA
RNAcentral lists this unclassified non-coding RNA (425 nucleotides) under soil metagenome. Its description in RNAcentral is "partial contains 5.8S ribosomal RNA, internal transcribed spacer 2, and large subunit ribosomal RNA". The stretch from base 1 to 120 matches the Rfam family "5.8S ribosomal RNA", at positions 35 to 154 of the family's 154-position model. The record is from RNAcentral.